RNAcentral lists this ribosomal RNA (449 nucleotides) under uncultured bacterium. Its description in RNAcentral is "bacterial SSU rRNA". It matches the Rfam family "Bacterial small subunit ribosomal RNA", at positions 355 to 825 of the family's 1533-position model. The record is from RNAcentral.
UGAGGAAUUUUCUGCAAUGGGCGAAAGCCUGACAGAGCAAUACCGCGUGAGGGAUGAAGGCCUAUGGGUUGUAAACCUCUUUUCUCAAGGAGGAAGAUAUGACGUUACUUGAGGAAUAAGCAUCGGCUAACCCUGUGCCAGCAGCCGCGGUAAUACAGGGGAUGCAAGUGUUAUCCGGAAUCAUUGGGCGUAAAGCGUCUGCAGGUUGACUUUUAAGUCUUUUGUUAAAGCUCUGGGCUUAACCUAGAAUAUGCAAAGGAAACUAUUUGUCUUGAGUAUGGUAGAGGUAAAGGGAAUUUCCAGUGGAGCGGUGAAAUGCUUAGAUAUUGGAAAGAACACCAACAGCGAAGGCACUUUACUGGGCCAGUACUGACACUGAGAGACGAAAGCUAGGGGAGCAAACGGGAUUAGAUACCCACGUAGUCCCUGAGCGGGCUGGCAAGGCGCAU